RNAcentral lists this ribosomal RNA (879 nucleotides) under uncultured bacterium. Its description in RNAcentral is "bacterial SSU rRNA". It matches the Rfam family "Bacterial small subunit ribosomal RNA", at positions 39 to 885 of the family's 1533-position model. The record is from RNAcentral.
GCGGCGUGCCUAAUACAUGCAAGUCGAACGAAGCUUUCUUUCACCGAAUGCUUGCAUUCACCGAAAGAAGCUUAGUGGCGAACGGGUGAGUAACACGUAGGUAACCUGCCCGAAAGAGGGGGAUAACACUUGGAAACAGGUGCUAAUACCGCAUAACCAUGAACACCGCAUGAUGUUCAUGUAAAAGACGGCUUUUGCUGUCACUUUUGGAUGGGCCUGCGGCGUAUUAACUUGUUGGUGGGGUAACGGCCUACCAAGGUGAUGAUACGUAGCCGAACUGAGAGGUUGAUCGGCCACAUUGGGACUGAGACACGGCCCAAACUCCUACGGGAGGCAGCAGUAGGGAAUCUUCCACAAUGGACGAAAGUCUGAUGGAGCAACGCCGCGUGAAUGAAGAAGGCCUUCGGGUCGUAAAAUUCUGUUGUCAGAGAAGAACGUGCGUGAGAGUAACUGUUCACGUAUUGACGGUAUCUGACCAGAAAGCCACGGCUAACUACGUGCCAGCAGCCGCGGUAAUACGUAGGUGGCAAGCGUUGUCCGGAUUUAUUGGGCGUAAAGGGAACGCAGGCGGUCUUUUAAGUCUGAUGUGAAAGCCUUCGGCUUAACCGAAGUAGUGCAUUGGAAACUGGAAGACUUGAGUGCAGAAGAGGAGAGUGGAACUCCAUGUGUAGCGGUGAAAUGCGUAGAUAUAUGGAAGAACACCAGUGGCGAAAGCGGCUCUCUGGUCUGUAACUGACGCUGAGGUUCGAAAGCGCGGGUAGCAAACAGGAUUAGAUACCCUGGUAGUCCACGCCGUAAACGAUGAGUGCUAAGUGUUGGAGGGUUUCCACCCUUCAGUGCUGCAGCUAACGCAUUAAGCACUCCGCCUGGGGAGUACGG